Molecule: ribosomal RNA, 490 nt
Filed under: uncultured bacterium
Lineage: Bacteria
Description: partial 16S ribosomal RNA
Rfam family: Bacterial small subunit ribosomal RNA
Source: RNAcentral
GAUGAACGCUCGCUACAGGCUUAACACAUGCAAGUCGCGGGGCAGCAUGGGGGUUGCUUGCAAUCCCCGAUGGCGACCGGCGCACGGGUGAGUAACGCGUAUCCAACCUGCCCUUCACCACGGGAUAACCCGGCGAAAGUCGGACUAAUACCGUAUGUUGUCCAUUGACGGCAUCCGAUUUGGACGAAAGGUUUGGCGGUGAAGGAUGGGGAUGCGUCCGAUUAGCUGGACGGCGGGGUGACGGCCCACCGUGGCGACGAUCGGUAGGGGUUCUGAGGGGAAGGUCCCCCACACUGGAACUGAGACACGGUCCAGACUCCUACGGGAGGCAGCAGUGAGGAAUAUUGGUCAAUGGGCGUAAGCCUGAACCAGCCAAGUAGCGUGCAGGAUGACGGCCCUAUGGGUUGUAAACUGCUUUUAUGCGGGGAUAAAGUGGCCCACGUGUGGGUUUUUGCAGGUACCGCAUGAAUAAGGACCGGCUAAUUCCGUG